GUGCCAGCCGCCGCGGUACUACUGGCAGCCCGAGUGAUGGCCGAUCUUAUUGGGCCUAAAGCGUCCGUAGCUGGCUGCGCAAGUCCGUCGGGAAAUCCACUCGCCCAACGAGUGGGCGUCCGACGGAAACUGCACAGCUUGGGACCGGAGGACCCGAGGGGUACGUCCGGGGUAGGAGUGAAAUCCCGUAAUCCCGGACGGACCGCCGGUGGCGAAAGCGCCUCGGGAGGACGGAUCCGACGGUGAGGGACGAAAGCUAGGGUCUCGAACCGGAUUAGAUACCCUGGUAGUCC
This 293-nucleotide ribosomal RNA is filed under the name uncultured bacterium. Its description in RNAcentral is "partial 16S ribosomal RNA". It matches the Rfam family "Archaeal small subunit ribosomal RNA", at positions 455 to 747 of the family's 1478-position model. The record is from RNAcentral.